CUGCUGAGCUGAGAUUAAAAUAAGUUUAAAAAAAAAGUUAGGAUGAGAAAAGAGAGAAUGGGAACGCCUACAAAUGGAUACUGGAGAAAAGGACAAAGAUGAUUUAAGAAGAAACCCAGAAAUAAAGUACUUGUUGAGCAUUUGUGUGGAAGAAAGAAGACGAAGACUAGAUGUGAGAAAACGAUAAUCACGAGGUUAUAUAUAUUAUCAGAAGAUCUUAUCUAUUGGCUAUUGCAUGUUUUUUGGAUAAAAACAAAGAGAGAUCAAAGAGAGCAAAUGCAUGUAAACCGGUGUGUCUGAGAUUUUAAAUGAAGCUACUAGUAAGUAAUAAGAAAGGAAAAAGAAGCCGAAGCAGAAGCUCUU
Molecule: long non-coding RNA, 363 nt
Organism: Camelina sativa (false flax)
Lineage: Eukaryota; Viridiplantae; Streptophyta; Magnoliopsida; Brassicales; Brassicaceae
Source: RefSeq, a predicted model, not a curated record